GGAGGUCGCAGCGCCAUGAAGUCCCUGUCUCUGCUCCUCGCUGUGGCUUUGGGCCUGGCGACCGCCGUCUCAGCAGGACCCGCGGUGAUCGAGUGUUGGUUCGUGGAGGAUGCGAGCGGAAAGGGCCUGGCCAAGAGACCCGGUGCACUGCUGUUGCGCCAGGGACCGGGGGAACCGCCGCCCCGGCCGGACCUCGACCCUGAGCUCUAUCUCAGUGUACACGACCCCGCGGGCGCCCUCCAGGCUGCCUUCAGGCGGUAUCCCCGGGGCGCCCCCGCACCACACUGCGAGAUGAGCCGCUUCGUGCCUCUCCCCGCCUCUGCGAAAUGGGCCAGCGGCCUGACCCCCGCGCAGAACUGCCCGCGGGCCCUGGAUGGGGCUUGGCUGAUGGUCAGCAUAUCCAGCCCAGUCCUCAGCCUCUCCAGCCUCUUGCGACCACAGCCAGAGCCUCAGCAGGAGCCUGUUCUCAUCACCAUGGCAACAGUGGUACUGACUGUCCUCACCCACACCCCUGCCCCUCGAGUGAGACUGGGACAAGAUGCUCUGCUGGACUUGAGCUUUGCCUACAUGCCCCCCACCUCCGAGGCCGCCUCAUCUCUGGCUCCGGGUCCCCCUCCCUUUGGGCUAGAGUGGCGACGCCAGCACCUGGGUAAGGGACAUCUGCUCCUGGCUGCAACUCCUGGGCUGAAUGGCCAGAUGCCAGCAGCCCAAGAAGGGGCCGUGGCAUUUGCUGCUUGGGAUGAUGAUGAGCCAUGGGGCCCAUGGACCGGAAAUGGGACCUUCUGGCUGCCUAGAGUUCAACCCUUUCAGGAGGGCACCUAUCUGGCCACCAUACACCUGCCAUACCUGCAAGGACAGGUCACCCUGGAGCUUGCUGUGUACAAACCCCCCAAAGUGUCCCUGAUGCCAGCAACCCUUGCACGGGCCGCCCCAGGGGAGGCACCCCCGGAAUUGCUCUGCCUUGUGUCCCACUCCAGGUCCCAGUCCUCUGUUCCCUUUGCCUGGUCCACCCUUGCCCUCCCUGGGUCGCAGACGAGGUCGGCCUCGUCAUUCCCCGCAGACCGCCGCGCGUCCCUCUUGUGCGGUUCACCACAGUUGUAUUUAAGUGAUCGUGUGAGUCGUCGUUAAAUGCCUGUCUCCCCGCGGAUCAUGGGCUCCUCGAGGACAGGGACCGGCCUGUCUGUCCACUGCUGUAACCCCGCGCCGGCAUAGGGACCUAAGGCCCACUGGAGGGCGCUCAUCAAGUAGCUGCUGGAUGUUGACGAAGGAAGCGGCGGCGCAGCUCAGGGAUCUCCGAGUCAGGACGGUCGGCCAGACCCACGGGGUAACGGGUCUAA
This 1337-nucleotide unclassified non-coding RNA is filed under the name Homo sapiens (human). RNAcentral's name for it is "TAP binding protein (ENSG00000112493.12, ENSG00000206281.11, ENSG00000236490.9)". Lineage: Eukaryota; Metazoa; Chordata; Mammalia; Primates; Hominidae. The record is from RNAcentral.